UGAUAAUAGAGUAAUUGGUAACUUUUCAGACUCAUAAUCUGAAUGUUGUGUGUUCGAUUCCAACUCCCGCCAA
This is a non-coding RNA of Marchantia paleacea, 73 nucleotides long. The record is from the annotation of a GenBank genome assembly. Lineage: Eukaryota; Viridiplantae; Streptophyta; Marchantiopsida; Marchantiales; Marchantiaceae.